AGAGUUUGAUUCUGGCUCAGAACGAACGCUGGCAGCGUGGAUUAGGCAUGCAAGUCGAACGAGAAGCCGUGGUCUCAAUCUUCGGAGAGAAACUGCGGUGGACAGUGGCGGAAGGGUGAGUAACGCGUGGGCAAUCUGCCCCCUGGUUGGGGACAACCUCGGGAAACCGGGGCUAAUACCGAAUAUGGUCUCCUGUCGCAUGGCAGGAUGAUUAAAGAUGGGGAUCCUUCGGGACCUGUCGCCUGGGGAGGAACCCGCGUACGAUCAGCUUGUUGGUGAGGUAACGGCUCACCAAGGCGACGACCGUUAGCCGGCCUGAGAGGGUGAUCGGCCACACUGGGACUGAGACACUGCCCAGACUCCUACGGGAGGCUGCAGUCGAGGAUCAUUCGCAAUGCGCGAAAGCGUGACGAUGCGACGCUGCGUGGAGGAUGACGGCCUUCGGGUUGUAAACUCCUGUCAUGAGGGAAGAACGAUACGGUUGUUAAUAGCGGCCGUAUGUGACGGUACCUCAAGAGGAAGCCACGGCUAACUCUGUGCCAGCAGCCGCGGUAAUACAGAGGUGGCUAGCGUUGUUCGGAUUUACUGGGCGUAAAGGGUACGUAGGCGGUUCCGUGUGUCGGGUGUGAAAUCCCACGGCUUACCCGUGGAACUGCACCCGAAACUGCGGGGCUAGAGUGCAGGAGGGGAGAGCGGAAUUCUUAGUGUAGCGGUGAAAUGCGUUGAUAUUAAGAAGAACACCGGUGGCGAAGGCGGCUCUCUGGAAUGUUACUGACGCUGAAGUACGAAAGUCGGGGGAGCAAACAGGAUUAGAUACCCUGGUAGUCCCGACCGUAAACGGUGUGAACUUGGUGUAGGGGGUAUUGACCCCCCCCCUGUGCCGGAGCUAACGCGUUAAGUUCACCGCCUGGGGAGUACGGCCGCAAGGCUAAAACUCAAAGAAAUUGACGGGGGCCCGCACAAGCGGAGGGGCAUGUGGCUUAAUUCGAUGCAACGCGAAGAACCUUACCUGGGCUUGACAUGGCGACCCUUCGGGGGUGGGGGUGAAAGCUCCCUUUACGAUCACAGGUGCUGCAUGGCUGUCGUCAGUUCGUGCCGUGAGGUGUUGGGUUAAGUCCCGCAACGAACGCAACCCUUGUGGCUAGUUGCCAUCGUAGGUGAUGAGCCUACGGGCACUCUAGUCAGACUGCCCGUACAAGCGGGAGGAAGGUGGGGAUGACGUCAAGUCAGUAUGGCCCUUACGCCCAGGGCUGCACACGUGCUACAAUGGUCGGUACAGAGGGAAGCAAUGCCGCGAGGUGGAGCUAAUCCCGAAAGCUGGCCUCAGUUCGGAUUGGAGUCUGCAACUCGACUCCAUGAAGUUGGAUUCGCUAGUAACGGCGUAUCAGCUACGACGCCGUGAAUACGUUCCCGGGCCUUGUACACACCGCCCGUCACAUCAUGAAAGCCGUCUGCACCCGAAGUCGCUGAGCUAACCCGCAAGGGGGGCAAGUGCCGAAGGUGUGGGUGGUGAUUGGGAUGAAGUCGAACAAGGUA
RNAcentral lists this ribosomal RNA (1536 nucleotides) under metagenome. RNAcentral's name for it is "bacterial SSU rRNA". It matches the Rfam family "Bacterial small subunit ribosomal RNA". The record is from RNAcentral.